Misgurnus anguillicaudatus (oriental weatherfish) is the source of this 631-nucleotide non-coding RNA. The record is from RefSeq and is a predicted model, not a curated record. Lineage: Eukaryota; Metazoa; Chordata; Actinopteri; Cypriniformes; Cobitidae.
CUGUCACUUCAUGGAGUUCGCGCUCGAUCCGUGUUGGCCUGGGCUUCUUCGGUGCAACUUCGCUGUGUAUUCAAGGUCUUUUUAAAUGGACAGCUUUGUUGCUGAUAAGCUAACUGAGUGGUGGCUGUUUAAGCUGACAGAGACAUUUUUGAGGCCGUCUACAGUGUUGGGAAGAAGACAAUCCGGCACUCCACUGAAGAGUCCUGGACAGCGUUCAUACACCAAAUGUCUGUAAGUACAAUGGACCAGUUUCUCAGCACCACUCUGAGAGAGAAUAUUCUUAAUUCUAUAACUAUACUGUACAUGUGAAAGAAGGCAAUCCAUGGGACAUGUUUCAUGUGAAAGCAAAAGGGUGAAUCCUGGUUUAAAAAAAAACCUUCAUGCUCCUUGCAGUUGUAUUUCAGUUUUGGGCGAUGCCAUCUAAGGUAGCAAUCUGACUAGAAAGUGAAGUUAAAGAUGUUAAGUUUUAUUACUCAUUUUCUUGGUCACAUUCAUGACCCACUCAAAAUAAACACAACAUUUGGCUUCCUUGUACAGUUAGUAUCAGCAUUAUAACACAAACUGGUAGUCUAUUAUCUUGCUUACAAUUCACUUUCUACACAAUAUUCACUUUCUAUCUCUCUGUCUCUGU